UGGUGGACUUGAGGAGUCAGGGGUGGGGUGGUUCAAACAGGACACCUACAAACACUCCUUGCAAAUAUUCACGUAGUAAAACUCAUACUUCCUGAAUAAUACUUCUUAUCAAGGUUUCAAGAAAGCAUAUGAAGGGAACCUGUAUCACCUUUCACACACUUGUCUGGCUCACCUACCACCACUACUGCUGCUCUUACUAGGAGUGCGGUUGAUUACGUCACUUCCUGCCAAUAACGCCAUCAUCGGUUAGCAAGUUGCCCAUAACACUACAAGAAAAAAGCGAUCACAACUAGUACAACCAUAGUACACAAGAAGCUCCUCCGCCACCACCACCAUGAAGGAGUGCUGGUCGCCGUGGUACUACUAUGACGACAUCAAGACAGCAAGUAAGGCGUGUGCAGCCACUACCAUCUUCUUCAGCACAUUCUCCAUCAUCUACAUCAGUCACUGUCUUAGUGGUGGUGACUCCUCCCAGUUCUUCCUCCCACUGUUUGAGACAGAUGUUGACACAACCAUGAGGGGUGCGGGCGGGUUCAUGAUUGUGUUCUACCUGUUUUACAUCGUAGUCUCAGGCCUCAUGGUGAGGGGGCUUAUCUUGGAUCAUCGGGGCUUCAUCCUUCCCUGGCUCACUCAGAAUCUCAUCUACGUACUCAUGAUCAUCGCUUUUGCCCUCUGGCUGCAGGCAUCGUACUACCAUUAUCUGCUGUCUGUGUUAUGGACGUUGCUCUAUGUGCUCUUUGCUGCUGCUCAUGUAUACAUGCAGAGGUGUGUCAAGAGCCAGUAUGAUAACAUUAAGAAAUCUCAAGCACCAAACAUCGUCCAGCUAUAUUGAGCUGUUUCUCUUCAGCCGUCAUCCUCACUCGGCUACAUAACAUCCGUCCUGACUUGGAUGUACUGUACCAGGUGUCCACUUAUGACUUCCAUACUGAAAUCUUAGUGCGACAUUUUUAUCUACGUACCUUAUAGGUAAGUUAAGGAAAUUGUAUUAUUUACUUAAUGCUGAUUAUGUUUUUAAUAUAUUUAUAGUACUGGAUGUUGCUUAUCAGAUUAUUACAAUCAGAAAUUUCAUGUUUUCAUCAUAGACAUCAAAUAUUUACUAUUGGAAUUGUAGAACUGAAAAUUUUAUAUAUUUUUAUGUUGUUAUUGACUUCAUAUUCUGAGUUAUGACCACAAACUUGAAGAAUCUCUUAGCUAUUGGAUGCUUUACACCCUGGUGAUAGUAAAAAUGAAUGAAUGCAUGAUUAAACUGCACCUAAAUACUGUAUAACUAUGGUACUGCAGUACAUGCAGAGAAAGAGAUAGAGUAUGAGAUGGACAUACAGAGUUGACAUAGAUAUGGCAAUGUCAACAUCAUAAGGCAAAUUCUCAAAUGAUUCAAUAUUUAAUGUAGAUUGUUUACAUUAUACCAAAAGCUACUUUAUCUUAAAUUAUUAACUUCAGUAAUACAUUUACAUAAGCUUUUAAACUUGACUAGAAAUGUAGUACGUACUAUAUUUACAAAAUUGAAAUAUCUGAAAUAUUUGCUACUAAAUAUUAGUGAUGGUAAGUUUGUCUGUCAUUAAUGUGGGUAAAUACUAUCCAGUGCUCAAACUAAUUUAUCUUCAUUAUAUUUUGUCUUAUCUAUGUAUUUAAACUUUAUCCUUGAAGCUCGACCUUUGUAACUCCUGAAGGAUCUUGUACAGCAAUCUUCAGAACUUUGCCUUCAACUGUUUUCCUCUGAAGCUUUACCUUUUUGACAAUUUCCAAACUUUUCACACUUGUACUUUACCUCUGUAGUGGUGUCUCUCUAAGACCGGUUUUAAAACUUAUUUCACGCUUCCGUCUAUUAAUGGUGGCUGUUGUGUCCCACCACUCACCAUUUUCAGUCAAAUCCAAUGUACAGUACAAUACAUACCUGUGUUUAGGUAAUGGGCAACUCAUCAGCUUAUAAUAGACAACUUUGAGUAAUGUAUAUUAUUAAACUAUAUAAAAUGUUGUUAGAUUGCCCUGGUUGUGCCAACAUUGUAAUUAUUUUUACAUUACACAUGAAAAUUUGCACUGUGUAAUGUACAGCACUGCCAAGGCACAACAUACUGUAAUUGCAAUUGAUGAUUGCAUAUUGUUAUAAUAAUGCACCUUAACUAUGUGAUACUAUUAGAGUCUAAUUAAUUUUUACUUCACAUGGAAUUACUUUGUUGUAUUUUAUACUUUUUCCAUGGUACAAUACUGUACACCUAUGUAGGAAUACUGUAGUCGGUUUUGCUAUAAGCGGUAGUUGCGUUCUUGAAAAACACUGCAUUUUAGAAAAAUUACGUUGUAGUAACCAUUGAUUUAAUGAGAAUUAAGGGGUAGUAGAUUCGAGAACACCAACAUGACUGACAUGGAACUCAGUUUCAUUUUUAUAUUAUUGUUAGUUUUUAUGUGUUUUAGUUUAAUAAUAUCAUUCAUAGUCUUAACCUGCUCGUGGUCUUUCGACACAAAUUGCAUCACUAAGUGCUCCGGUGCUGGUGCGACCCUUCCCGCUCAGCCAUAUCUCACAUAAGCACAAACGAAGGAACGGUGGACCAGCCCUAUCUACCACCUAAGUUCCUCCUACUAGCCUCAUGGACUGGCAGAUGCAUCUCUAAGGGUGUAAUUUGGGCCUGAAUCGUUUAAUAAAAUGGAUAAACCGUUCCUUUAAAGAUGCAGAACAAAUGAACACAAAGAAAAAAUAUGGGAGUGUGAUUCUCUUAACUGCUUUUAAUGAUAAAACUUUUAAAUCAAAACAUUUUUAGUCAUAAGAAGAGAAGAUAGUUGUCUGAGGCGACUGGUGGAGGAGGAACUUGAAUCAGUUUGACCACUUUAUCAAAAAACAUUUUCACACCCUUGCCAUGAUAAAGUUGAGAUACUGUACAGUACUUGUAUUAAAAUAAAGCACAGUCUGCGAUUACAGCAUCUGAUACAUAUGUAAGUUAAACAAAGACUGUAAGGGAGGUGCAGUGCCUUGUGUGAUGCAACGCCAAGGCGACCGCAUAAUUGCUUAUACCUACUUCACUGACAUAUUUCUGUUUACUUAAAUGCAUAAUAGAAAAUGUAUUCCCUUAAUACAUUCAUCACGUUACAACCAAGUUGCACUAUAAAACGUGUUGUAGGAAAACUUACUGCAUACACUACUGUAAUAGAUUCAGCUGGGCUAUGAAAAUUAAGCUUAUACAAAAUCUAUUAUGUACACGUAAUAUAAAUACAGUAGUACAGUAUUGGUGAAUACUUGUCCUUUUGUGAAGUAGUGGUAUACUUUAUUUUGUUCUUAUGGAUUAGAACAAAGCAUAUUUUACUGGAUAUAAUACUUCAUACUGUAUACAUACAAAUUGCAUAUAUAAAUUUACAGUAUAUUCAGGGUAUAUUUGUAUACACUACAUGCGGUCAUAUAACUUAAUAAAGAAGACUGCACUGCACCUCCACUUCUAUUUUGAGAGAAACUGAAGGCUUAAAAGGUUUAUAGCAUGAUUGUACUGACAAAUGCUAUAAAAAAAAAAGGAACACACCAAAGUGAUGAUUUCCGGA
Molecule: unclassified non-coding RNA, 3522 nt
Filed under: Homarus americanus (American lobster)
Lineage: Eukaryota; Metazoa; Arthropoda; Malacostraca; Decapoda; Nephropidae
Description: uncharacterized LOC121876156, transcript variant X2
Source: RNAcentral